CAAAGGGCGAACGGCGGAUGCCUUGGCUUCUAUAGGCGAUGAAAGACGCGGUAAGCUGCGAAAAAGGCCGGGGAUCGGCAAACACGAAAUGAUCCGGCCGUCUCUGAAUGGGGCAACCCGGCAGGUUGAAGACCUGUCACGUAUUAUAUACGGGCAAACUCAGGGAACUGAAACAUCUUAGUACCUGAAGGAAAAGAAAGAAAAAUCGAUUUCCCUAGUAGUGGCGAGCGAACAGGAAAUAGCCCAAACCGGCGUUGUUGCGGCAAUGCCGGGGUCAUAGGACCUCACCACAUGUUUAUCAAACGAACCGGAAGUAUCUGGAAAGUUACAUCGCAGAGGGUGAUAAUCCCGUACGGGCAAGUUUGUUAAACGACAGAGGACUCCUGAGUAGGGCGGGACACGAAGAAUCCUGUCUGAAAUCGCGGGGCCCAUCCCGCAAGGCUAAAUACUCAUAGAAGACCGAUAGAGAACCAGUACUGUGAAGGAAAGGUGAAAAGAACCCCUGACAGGGGAGUGCAACAGACCCUGAAACCGUUCGUCCACAAGCUGUCGGAGCCCCUUUAUGGGGUGACGGCGUGCCUUUUGGAUAAUGAGCCUACGAGUUGUAUCACACUAGCGAGGUUAAGUGCUUCAGGCACGUAAGCCGGAGCGAAAGCGAGUCUUAAAAGGGCGCAUAGUUACUGUGAACAGACGCGAAACCCAGUGAUCUACCCUUGGCCAGGUUGAAGUUACCGUAACAGGUGAUGGAGGACCGAACCGAUAAAAGUUGAAAAUUUUUCGGAUGAGCUGAGGGUAGGGGUGAAAGGCUAAUCAAACUGGGAGAUAGCUCGUACUCCCCGAAAUGUCUUUAGGGACAGCCUCAUAAUAGUUUACCGGAGGUAGAGCUACUGAUAGGAUGCGAGGGUUUCACCGCCUAUCAAUUCCUGCCAAACUCCGAAUGCCGGUAAAUGUUUUAUGGGAGUGAGUCGCCGGGUGCUAAUGUCCGGUGGCAAAAGGGAAACAGCCCAGACCAACAGUUAAGGCCCCCAAUUGUGGUUUAAGUUGAUCAAACGCGGUGACAUUGCAGAGACAGCUAGGAUGUUAGCUUGGAAGCAGCUAUUCAUUUAAAGAGUGCGUAACAGCUCACUAGUCGAGCGAUGUUGCAUGGAUAAUAAGCGGGCAUCAAGACCACAGCCGAAACUAUGGACUCCGAAAGGAGUGGUAGGGGAGCAUUCUAAUCUGCGCAGAAGGCAUACUGCGAGGUAUUCUGGAGCGAUUAGAAGAGAAAAUGUAGGCAUAAGUAACGAUAAUGCGGGUGAGAAUCCCGCACACCGAAAACCCAAGGGUUCCUGGACAACGCCAAUCGUUCCAGGGUUAGUCGGGACCUAAGUCGUAACCGAAGGGUGAAGACGAUGGGCAAAUGUUUAAUAAUCCAUUACCUGUUAUAUGAGAGAAGGAGUGACGUAGCAGUGACACGCUCGCCAACUGACGGAAUAGUUGGUUGAAGGACGUAGAUAAACAUACAUGUUAAGAGCUAGUAUGUGUCAAAAUCCGACAGUACGCCAAGUCUUCGGACGCGGUGAUAGUAGCGGUAAUCAUACUACCAAGAAAACCUCCGUAUCGUUAAUCAUAUAACAGCCCGUACCGUAAACCGACACAGGUGGGUGAGGAGAGAAUCCUCAGGUGCUCGAGUGAAUCAUGGCUAAGGAACUAGGCAACUUGACCCCGUAACUUCGGGAGAAGGGGCCCCUCCGUAAAAAGAGGGCGCAGAGAAAUGGCUCAGGCGACUGUUUAGCAAAAACACAUGGCUUUGCAAAUUCGCAAGAAUAGGUAUAAGGCCUGACACCUGCCCGGUGCUGGAAGGUUAAGAGGGGGUGUUAGCUGACGUAAGGAAGCGAAGCACUGAAUCGAAGCCCCAGUAAACGGCGGCCGUAACUAUAACGGUCCUAAGGUAGCGAAAUUCCUUGUCGGGUAAGUUCCGACCUGCACGAAUGGUGUAACGAUCUGAGCGCUGUCUCGGCCAUGAGCUCGGUGAAAUUGUAGUAACGGUGAAGAUGCCGUUUACCCGCAACGGGACGGAAAGACCCCGUGAACCUUUACUGCAGCUUAGCGUUGUUUCUGGAUAAUUGAUGUGUAGGAUAGGUGGGAGGCUUAGAAGCAUGUACGCCAGUACAUGUGGAGCCACUGUUGAAAUACCACCCUUUGGUUAUUUGGGAACUAACUUGAUGAAAGGACACCGCUUGGUGGGUAGUUUGACUGGGGUGGUCGCCUCCAAAAGCGUAACGGAGGCUUCCCAAGGUACACUCCGCACGAAUGGCAACCGUGCACAGAGUAUAUUGGUAUAAGUGUGCUUGACUGUGAGACCGACAAGUCGACCAGGUAGGAAACUAGGGCAAAGUGAUCCGGUGGUUCCGUAUGGAUGGGCCAUCGCUCAAAGGAUAAAAGGUACUCCGGGGAUAACAGGCUGAUCGCUCCCAAGAGCUCAAAUCGACGGAGCGGUUUGGCACCUCGAUGUCGGCUCGUCACAUCCUGGGGUCACAUCCUGGGGCUGGAGUAGGUCCCAAGGGUUCGGCUGUUCGCCGAUUAAAGUGGCACGCGAGCUGGGUUCAGAACGUCGUGAGACAGUUCGGUCCCUAUCUGUUGUGGGCGCAGGAAAUUUGCGGAGGUCUGUCCUUAGUACGAGAGGACCGGGAUGGACGAACCUCUGGUUUACCGGUUGUGGCGCCAGCUGCACCGCCGGGUAUCCAAGUUCGGUUAGGAUAAGCGCUGAAAGCAUCUAAGCGCGAAGCCAUCUCCAAGACUAGAUUUCCACUGAGGGACGUAGGAGACUACUACGUUGAUAGGCCGUAGAUGUAAAGGCAGUAAUGUCAAAGUCGAACGGUACUAAUAUCCCGAACACUUCGCUU
This 2885-nucleotide ribosomal RNA is filed under the name metagenome. RNAcentral's name for it is "bacterial LSU rRNA". It matches the Rfam family "Bacterial large subunit ribosomal RNA". The record is from RNAcentral.